RNAcentral lists this ribosomal RNA (204 nucleotides) under uncultured fungus. RNAcentral's name for it is "partial 28S ribosomal RNA". The record is from RNAcentral. Lineage: Eukaryota; Fungi.
UCUUACUCCGGUGCACUCUUCUAUAGGCAGGCCAGCAUCAGUUUGGGCGGUUGGAUAAAGGUCUCUGUCAUGUACCUCUCUUCGGGGAGAACUUAUAGGGGAGACGACAUGCAACCAGCCUGGACUGAGGUCCGCGCAUCUGCUAGGAUGCUGGCGUAAUGGCUGUAAGCGGCCCGUCUUGAAACACGGACCAAGGAGUACACU